This 1343-nucleotide ribosomal RNA is filed under the name uncultured bacterium. Its description in RNAcentral is "bacterial SSU rRNA". It matches the Rfam family "Bacterial small subunit ribosomal RNA", at positions 29 to 1367 of the family's 1533-position model. The record is from RNAcentral.
AUGAACGCUGGCGGCGUGCUUAACACAUGCUUUUUCGAGCGAAGUGCGGAAGAAGAUUUCUUCGGAAUGAUUUUUUCGUGACUGAGCGGCGGACGGGUGAGUAUUUCGUGGGGAACCUGCCUCAUACCGGGGGAUAACAGUUGGAAACGACUGCUAAUACCGCAUAAGCGCACAGUACCGCAUGGUACGGUGUGAAAAACUCCGGUGGUAUGAGAUGGACCCGCGUUGGAUUAGCCAGUUGGCGGGGUAACGGCCCACCAAAGCGACGAUCCAUAGCCGGCCUGAGAGGGCGACCGGCCACAUUGGGACUGAGACACGGCCCAGACUCCUGCGGGAGGCAGCAGUGGGGAAUAUUGCACAAUGGAGGAAACUCUGAUGCAGCGACGCCGCGUGAGUGAAGAAGUAUUUCGGUAUGUAAAGCUCUAUCAGCAGGGAAGAUAAUGACAGUACCUGACUAAGAAGCCCCGGCUAACUACGUGCCAGCAGCCGCGGUAAUACGUAGGGGGCAAGCGUUAUCCGGAUUUACCGGGUGUAAAGGGAGCGCAGACGGAAAGGCAAGUCUGAAGUGAAAUUCCCGCGGCCUAAACCGCGGCAAUUGCUUUUGGAAACUGUCAGUCUAGAGUACUGGAGGGGUAAGGGGAAUUCCUGGUGUAGCGGUGAAAUGCGUAGAUAUCAGGAAGAACACCAGAGGCGAAGGCGACUUACUGGACAGCAACUGACGUUGAGGCUCGAAAGCGUGGGUAGCAAACAGGAUUAGAUACCCUGGUAGUCCACGCAGUAAACGAUGAAUACUAGGUGUCGGCAGGCGAAGCCUGCCGGUGCCGCCGCAAACGCAUUAAGUAUUCCACCUGGGGAGUACGUUCGCAAGAAUGAAACUCAAAGGAAUUGACGGGGACCCGCACAAGCGGUGGAGCAUGUGGUUUAAUUCGAAGCAACGCGAAGAACCUUACCAAAUCUUGACAUCCCUCUGACCGGGACUUAACCGUCCCUUUCCUUCGGGACAGGGGAGACAGGUGGUGCAUGGUUGUCGUCAGCUCGUGUCGUGAGAUGUUGGGUUAAGUCCCGCAACGAGCGCAACCCUUAUCCCCAGUAGCCAGCAGGUAAAGCUGGGCACUCUGAGGAGACUGCCAGGGAGAACCUGGAGGAAGGCGGGGAUGACGUCAAAUCAUCAUGCCCCUUAUGAUUUGGGCUACACACGUGCUACAAUGGCGUGAACAGAGGGAAGCAGAGCCGCGAGGCCGAGCGAAUCUCAAAAAACGCGUCCCAGUUCGGACUGUAGUCUGCAACCCGACUACACGAAGCUGGAAUAGAUAGUAAUCGCAGAUCAGAAUGCUGCGGUGAAU